RNAcentral lists this unclassified non-coding RNA (250 nucleotides) under plant metagenome. RNAcentral's name for it is "partial contains small subunit ribosomal RNA, internal transcribed spacer 1, and 5.8S ribosomal RNA". The record is from RNAcentral.
GUAGGUGAACCUGCGGAAGGAUCAUUGCAGUAAGGGAAAUUGUUGUCUGGCGGCAUAUAUGCCGGCAGAGAAUAAAUUAGGUCGUCUGCGGGGUGGUAUACUGCUAUUGCAAUAGUAUAUUGCUAUUGCAGUAAUAUAUUGUUGUUGCAACAGUAUCUGCUCUGCGGACAACACCAGCGCGUAUGUGUGUGGCAGUCGACGUCAACAAAUAUACAACUUUUAACAAUGGAUCUCUUGGCUCUUGCAUCGA